This 626-nucleotide ribosomal RNA is filed under the name uncultured fungus. RNAcentral describes it as "eukaryotic LSU rRNA". It matches the Rfam family "Eukaryotic large subunit ribosomal RNA", at positions 24 to 664 of the family's 3401-position model. Lineage: Eukaryota; Fungi. The record is from RNAcentral.
CCCGCUGAACUUAAGCAUAUCAAUAAGCGGAGGAAAAGAAACUAACAAGGAUUCCCCUAGUAACGGCGAGUGAAGCGGGAACAGCUCAAAUUUGAAACCUGGCGUCCUUAGGGCGUCCGGAUUGUAUUCUAGAGAAGCGUCUUCCACGCUGGUCCACGUAUAAGUGCCCUGGAACGGGCUGUCAUAGAGGGUGAGAAUCCCGUCCUUGACGUGGGCUACCAGUGUUUUUGUGAUGCGCUUUCUAAGAGUCGAGUUGUUUGGGAAUGCAGCUCAAAGUGGGUGGUAAAUUCCAUCUAAAGCUAAAUACUGGCCAGAGACCGAUAGCGCACAAGUAGAGUGAUCGAAAGAUGAAAAGCACUUUGAAAAGAGGGUUAAAUAGCACGUGAAAUUGUUGAAAGGGAAGCGUUUAUGACCAGACUUUUUCUAGGCAGAUCAUCCGGUGUUCUCACCGGUGCACUUUGCCUAGUUGAGGCCAGCAUCGGUUUCUAUAGAGGGAUAAAAACAGUGGGAAUGUGGCUCCUCCGGGAGUGUUAUAGCCCAUUGUAUAAUACCUUUACGGGGACCGAGGUUCGCGCUCUGCAAGGAUGCUGGCGUAAUGGUCAUCAACGACCCGUCUUGAAACACGG